GUCGAACGCUGGCGGCGUGCUUAACACAUGCAAGUCGAACGGAAAGGCCCCUUUGGGGGUACUCGAGUGGCGAACGGGUGAGUAACACGUGAGUAACCUGCCCUUGACUUCGGGAUAACUUCAGGAAACUGGGGCUAAUACCGGAUAGGAAUCCUUGCUGCAUGGUGGGGGUUGGAAAGCUUCGGCGGUUUUGGAUGGACUCGCGGCUUAUCAGCUUGUUGGUGGGGUAGUGGCUUACCAAGGCUUUGACGGGUAGCCGGCCUGAGAGGGCGACCGGCCACAUUGGGACUGAGAUACGGCCCAGACUCCUACGGGAGGCAGCAGUGGGGAAUAUUGCACAAUGGGCGGAAGCCUGAUGCAGCAACGCCGCGUGCGGGAUGACGGCCUUCGGGUUGUAAACCGCUUUCAGCAGGGGCGAAGCUUGUGGUGACGGUACCUGCAGAAGAAGCACCGGCUAACUACGUG
This 465-nucleotide ribosomal RNA is filed under the name uncultured bacterium. Its description in RNAcentral is "partial 16S ribosomal RNA". It matches the Rfam family "Bacterial small subunit ribosomal RNA", at positions 28 to 507 of the family's 1533-position model. The record is from RNAcentral.